Long non-coding RNA from Lemur catta (Ring-tailed lemur), 2463 nucleotides. RefSeq lists it as uncharacterized. NCBI's taxonomy places the organism in Eukaryota, Metazoa, Chordata, Mammalia, Primates, Lemuridae. The transcript is spliced from 5 exons. The record is from RefSeq and is a predicted model, not a curated record.
ACCGGCUGAGGAGAAAGUGCCAAGGGAAAUCAAUGGGAAAAUUACAGAGGUGUAACCCAGGGCUGGGCAUCUGCCAGCUCGGAGGGUUUCCUGGCUCUGCCUUGGUUUUACCAACUUGUGGUUGCUGUUACCUGUAUGACACAGUGGACCAAGGGACAACUGCCCCACAGCACAGGCUCAGUCUGACCCCUUUAGAGAGAUUCUCUUAUCGGAUGGAAGAGAGGGACCAGGGCUCCUGGCAGCCCUUGCUCGGGGAAUGAAGCUGAGAGCAGUGGGAAGUGGUGACACUGAAUUCUCAGGGCCAUGAUGAAGAGGAACGUCUUUGUCAUAUGAAAAACAGGUGUUAUUGUUUAGAUGUCUGCACAUCUAUGAUUAUUGCACCUUGAGAAACAGUAAACCAGGCUAAGUGCCUUGUGUACUGCUGUACACGAGGACUGUAUGAAGAAAGCAGGAGGUAGCCUACACUGGCUAGCACCUGUUCACAGCAAAUACAAACAAAAUUCUGGUGGUUUUGCUGCACAAAGACAGCAGGACUUGAAGCCAUAGCAGAGAAGAGCCAUCUCACAGAAGGCCGUCGUCCCCUUAUCUGCACAUGCUGAGAUCUGUCUCCAGUUCUGGCCUGCCCGGGAACAGUUUGAUGGAACAGUUUUGAGCAUUACCUUAUUGAAGUGGCCUCAGCACAGUGGCUGAGUCCAGUGGUCCAGCCCUGACUCAGUUCCCUGUGCUUUCCCUCUGGCGUUCCUGCCACAACCCCCAGAGAUGGAUGGAUGUGGCAGAUGGACGUUCCCCCUUUGCAGAUACCCAAUGACAUUGGAGUCCUAGCCUAGCAGGGACUCCAUCCAUUCAGAGCUUGGGUCUCCCGCCUAUCCAAGCUCCCAAGUGCUGGGUGGGCAGCCAGAAGCUGGGCCGAAUCGGCAGCUGAGACCAAGGAGGAGACCCCUGUCCCCAGAAGAUCUGAAAGGCUUUUUCUCUUGGUAGACAGAGAACAAAGCUAGAAGAUGGAAUCUUCUGCUGUUGUUAGCUUCCUGAUUAUGUCAACCUUUUUCAGAAGCCCAAUUCUUUUUCCCGGGGUUCCUGCCACAGCCCCUUGGUUGGCAGGUGUGUGUUCACCCUUCACACCACCUUGAGCUAAGUCAGCCCCAGUCAAGGUUACCUUGCACAGUGUGACGGGGAGCGCUGGGCAUCUCGUGUGAGUUUUCUUCUUCUUUCAUUUUGGGUAAGUUGUCCUUGGUCACUGAAGGGAGGAAGAAAAAUCAUCACAGGUACAAGGGCUGGGUGUCAGGGAGGAGGGUGGAUGGUAAAAAUGCCUGGAGCAGAUGGAGCCCCCAGGCCCAAGGGCAGAGGUUGGGAUGUCCCAGCAGUGGGAAGCAGGUAUUCUGGGCUCUAGGCCUUACCAGGCCCCAGGAAGUACUCACAAUCCUACUUGAAAAGGGCUGUGUAUGGGCGGAUGGGUGCAAGGGAAGGACCAGAUGAAUAAAAGAUGAGAGCCUGGGGUUGUAGGUAGUAUGGUGCAGGUGCCCUAGGCUGGGCUGCACAGGUGUUGGAUGGGGGCUGUUUCUCACCUGCAGUUCUCCUUCCUUCCUGGAUGAGUCCAGGGAGAGACACGGCAGGGUCAGAAGAGCUGGGUGGUUCGCCCGGGAUCUCAUUGCUUUGCUGCGAGGAUGCUCCAGGCUCACUGCCUUUGGACACACGGAGCGGACAGCUGUGUGGAGCGGGUGGCGGUGGGGGCAGCAGUGGCAGGGUCUGGAGGGAGUGCCCUUGGGCUGGGCCGGCUGGGACUUCCAGUAGGGUUGGUGUGGCUCUGCUCCACUGUCCAUAGGAAGUGGUAACUGGGAUUGGUGAAGGAACACACAUCAGCACCCUGUAGACUCAGAAUUAUUUGGGGAUGGGAAUUUCUUAAUACGUGCCUUCCAAUAGGAAGGAGACAUACAGUUUUCAUUCUUCCCAUGGUGCAUAGAACCGACGCAUUGUCAUCAUUAUCCAUUUGUGGCCCCUUUCUGUCUUAUUUAUUUGAUUUGGGCAUUCAGUACUGCAAUAAGUACAUUUAACCCCCGAUCUAAUACCAAAGUGGUUUCGCACAUAAGGUCGAGUUUGAGUUUGUACCCAGGGAUAGAAUUUAGUCCGUGAUGUACAUGCUAUAAUUUUAAUAGAGGUCUCUAUUUUAAUAAAUGAACCUAUUAUACCUCCAUGGGGCAAAUAAGAAAAUAAAAAUUCAUUAGCAGGGUGAGGGUGUAUCAGGACCUUUACAUACUGGUUUCUGCUCAUUUCUGCAGACCCAGUCUCCGUACCUUCUAUCACACCCUAUGAUCUGGCCAUAUCAGCAUUUUCCCCCACCUGCAAUACUCCAGGCCCUUGGCUUUCCACAUGCUGUCCCCCUGCAUGGCUAGUGCCAGGUUUCUCUUACAAUUCUUCUCCAUCAUUUAUUUCAGAAGUAAAGUUGUCUCUGGUGGCUCACGCCUGUAA